RNAcentral lists this ribosomal RNA (452 nucleotides) under uncultured bacterium. RNAcentral describes it as "bacterial SSU rRNA". It matches the Rfam family "Bacterial small subunit ribosomal RNA", at positions 1055 to 1505 of the family's 1533-position model. The record is from RNAcentral.
UCAAGCUCGUGUCGUGAGAUGUUGGGUUAAGUCCCGCAACGAGCGCAACCCCUGUUUCUAGUUGCCAGCAUUAAGUUGGGCACUCUAGAGAGACUGCCGAUGACAAAUCGGAGGAAGGUGGGGAUGACGUCAAAUCAUCAUGCCCUUUAUGCCCUGGGCUACACACGUGCUACAAUGGUCGGUACAACGAGGAGCAAACCAGUGAUGGCAAGCAAAUCUCUAAAAGCCGAUCCCAGUUCGGAUUGUAGGCUGCAACUCGCCUACAUGAAGUCGGAGUUGCUAGUAAUCGCGGAUCAGAAUGUCGCGGUGAAUGCGUUCCCGGGUCUUGUACACACCGCCCGUCACACCAUGGGAGUUGUCAAUACCCGAAGCCAGUGAGCUAACCAGUAAUGGAGGCAGCUGUCGAAGGUAGGGGCGAUGACUGGGGUGAAGUCGUAACAAGGUAGCCGUAA